CUAAUACAUGCAAGUCGAGCGCGGGAAGCAGACUGAAGCCUUCGGGCGGACGUCUGUGGAAUGAGCGGCGGACGGGUGAGUAACACGUGGGCAACCUGCCUGUAAGACCGGGAUAACUCGCGGAAACGUGAGCUAAUACCGGAUAAAGCUCCAUGCCGCAUGGCAUGGGGAUGAAAGACGGCUUAGCUGUCGCUUGCAGAUGGGCCCGCGGCGCAUUAGCUAGUUGGUGGGGUGAUGGCUCACCAAGGCGACGAUGCGUAGCCGACCUGAGAGGGUGAUCGGCCACACUGGGACUGAGACACGGCCCAGACUCCUACGGGAGGCAGCAGUAGGGAAUCUUCCGCAAUGGACGCAAGUCUGACGGAGCAACGCCGCGUGAGUGAGGAAGGUCUUCGGAUCGUAAAACUCUGUUGUUAGGGAAGAACACGUACGAGAGUCACUGCUCGUACCUUGACGGUACCUAACCAGAAAGCCACGGCUAACUACGUGCCAGCAGCCGCGGUAAUACGUAGGUGGCAAGCGUUGUCCGGAAUUAUUGGGCGUAAAGCGCGCGCAGGCGGCUUCUUAAGUCUGAUGUGAAAUCUCGCGGCUCAACCGUGAGCGGUCAUUGGAAACUGGGGAGCUUGAGUACAGAAGAGGAGAGCGGAAUUCCACGUGUAGCGGUGAAAUGCGUAGAGAUGUGGAGGAACACCAGUGGCGAAGGCGG
RNAcentral lists this ribosomal RNA (706 nucleotides) under uncultured bacterium. RNAcentral describes it as "bacterial SSU rRNA". It matches the Rfam family "Bacterial small subunit ribosomal RNA", at positions 48 to 724 of the family's 1533-position model. The record is from RNAcentral.